UCUAAAGGAAGGCUCCUCACAGAAGGUGAAGACAGCCCCACAGUUCAAGACAGUGAGUGGAGGGAGAUGCGUGGUAUGUGAAGGGUUGAAAACAAAAAGCAGUGCUCAUCCUAGGGAUGUGAUACGUGGGGAGGACUGAGGUUUCAUAAGGGCCCAACUACCAACCAAUUUUGAAACAUGUCAGUAGGAUGAUGGCCCAGCGGACUGGAGCCAUAAGCUACCACUUCUGGGAAGGCAAGAG
RNAcentral lists this long non-coding RNA (241 nucleotides) under Bos taurus (domestic cattle). RNAcentral describes it as "long non-coding RNA NONBTAT014079". The record is from RNAcentral. Lineage: Eukaryota; Metazoa; Chordata; Mammalia; Artiodactyla; Bovidae.